AAUACCAAUCUUAUUUAUUUUAGAUCAUUUAUUUUAGUUGUUUAAGAGUUUAGUAACUUGCUAACUUGAUUAUCUAGUUUUAUUUGAAAUUUCGUGUAAGGGUUGUAAUCCACUAGGCACCGAGGUGUAUGAGUUGUUUAGUUAUUUCUUUUAAUAGGUGUAUGUUGCUAGCUUACCUGAAUGCAGGUUAGUGACCUGCCGCAGGGUAUAUAUUUACAACAGAUAUCUAUGUUUCUACCUUACCGCGGUGCGUUGUUGGUGUUGCCUGUACACCAAUAUGGGUAGAGUUUGGAGCUAAGUUUUGGAAACCGUUUAGCUGCAUAAUCAUGUUAUUCUCUGAUGGAUUGGUUUUUCUGCUAUUGUACGUUGCUGCCUUCCUGUGGUGUUUUGUUUGAAGUUCUGGAGGUGUCUUGGUUCGUGUGGUUUUUCAGGGACUUGAAAACAUGAGAGGUAUUGCUGACUUGGUUUGAAAAAUGGCAGAGGAGUGCUUAAGUUAGUUUGAUUGCUUUGGUGUUCUGAACUCACCUGGUUGCAGGAAAAGGUAUGCUGGGAGCUUAUUGUGCAAUGUGUAGGUUGUUAUUAUUUGAUUAAGGUUGAGGCUCAUAGGACCUUUGUAUUAGUAUAUCUUAGCAUAAGUUAAUUUGUUUUGGUGGUGAGAGUUAUGUACCCAGUUAGCUUCUUGAUAGGACCUUUGUAUUAACAUAAGUUUGUUUUGUUGGUUAGAGAUGUACUCAAAUAUUGUUUCAGACCAAAUCUAGUAUAUUUUUCAUGUUAUAUUGAAAAAGUACUUUUUAUUCUC
This is a long non-coding RNA of Trifolium pratense (red clover), 799 nucleotides long. RefSeq lists it as uncharacterized. NCBI's taxonomy places the organism in Eukaryota, Viridiplantae, Streptophyta, Magnoliopsida, Fabales, Fabaceae. The transcript is spliced from 2 exons. The record is from RefSeq and is a predicted model, not a curated record.